AGCCUACGUGUUGAACGUCUGCAUUUGAUGAAUCAAUUAUAAAUUGCAGUAAACGCGAUGAAGAGUUAAGUUGGCGAUUUCAGCGAUGGUAAGAAUGAAGUUCCCAACUGCAAAAAUGUGGUGGCCUCCUAAGAGAUGUAAGAAGACAGAAGUCCCUUUGGUGGUAUACAUUUUGGAAUAUGAUCUCCGGCUUCUGCAUGGAUGCUAAUGUGCAAAUGUAACUUUGAAACUUUAAAUGGUGUUAGAGUUCUGAAUGAGUUGCUAUUUAGAUGUUUGGAUGAAUGUCUUUUUCAAUAAAAGUGUGAAACCGUAACUUGUGAUGUAUAGCUAUCAGGUCACUUAUUAUUUGACAUACUGGAGUGGUGCUACACUUCAUUAAUCAGUGUAAUUGUGGUGGUUUAACUUCAAUUGAUCAAUUGACUUGAUAUGCAAAAACAUGCUUAACCUUAGUUUGCUAGCAAAUGCUUGAACAUAUGGCAUACGUCCAGUAUUGAGUGUGGACCGCUGAGCUAAUAGACAAUGCCUUGUAUAAACCCACCA
RNAcentral lists this long non-coding RNA (540 nucleotides) under Sinocyclocheilus anshuiensis. Its description in RNAcentral is "lncRNA (ENSSANG00000017144.1)". Lineage: Eukaryota; Metazoa; Chordata; Actinopteri; Cypriniformes; Cyprinidae. The record is from RNAcentral.